UUCCUUCCUUCCUUCCUUCACUUGUUUCUCUCCCUUUCCUUUCCUUCCCUUUCCUUUCUUCUCUCUCCCUCUCUUUCUUUCUUUCUUCUUUUUUUUUUAGAAGAAAAGAGGCCAGGCAUGGUGGCUCACGCCUGUAAUCCCAGCAUUUUGGGAGGCCAAGGCUGGUGGAUCACUUGAGGUCAGGAGUUCAAGACCAGCCUGGGCAACAUGGUGAGACCUUGUCUCUAAAAAAUAUAAAAAUUAGCCAGUUGUGGGGGUGUGUUCCUGUGGUCCCAGCUACUUGGGAGGCUGAGGUGAGAGGAUCACCUGAGCCACAGAGGUCAAGGCUGCAGUGAGCCAUGAUCAUGUCACCGCACUCCAGCCUGGGAAACAGAAUGAGACCCAAGAAAAGAAAAGGGGAGGGGAGGGAGAAAGGGAGGGGAGGGAGAAGGGGAGGGGAGGGAGAAGGGGAGGGGAGGGAGAAGGGGAGGGGAGAGGAGGAGAAAGGGAGCAGAGGGGAGAGGAGGAGAAAGGGAGGGGAGGGUAGAGGAGAGAGAGCCAGCAGUAAGGUCAUAAUAGGGACAUGUAUCUGUAAGAUCCUUAUAAUAGGUA
RNAcentral lists this long non-coding RNA (591 nucleotides) under Homo sapiens (human). Its description in RNAcentral is "non-protein coding lnc-TTC7A-2:3". The record is from RNAcentral. Lineage: Eukaryota; Metazoa; Chordata; Mammalia; Primates; Hominidae.